UCCUACGGGAGGCAGCAGUGAGGAAUAUUGGUCAAUGGUCGGGAGACUGAACCAGCCAAGCCGCGUGAGGGAGGAAGGUACAGAGUAUCGUAAACCUCUUUUGUCAGGGAACAAAGGCGGGGACGUGUCCCCGGAUGAGUGUACCUGAAGAAAAAGCAUCGGCUAACUCCGUGCCAGCAGCCGCGGUAAUACGGAGGAUGCGAGCGUUAUCCGGAUUUAUUGGGUUUAAAGGGUGGGCAGGCGGUCUGUUAAGUCAGCGGUCAAAACCCGGGGCUCAACCCCGGCCCGCCGUUGAAACUGGCAGG
Molecule: ribosomal RNA, 305 nt
Filed under: uncultured bacterium
Lineage: Bacteria
Description: bacterial SSU rRNA
Rfam family: Bacterial small subunit ribosomal RNA
Source: RNAcentral